UUUAUCGCUACUCCCUGACACAAACUGAAAAUGGAAGGGAAGAAUUAAUUUGUUUAAAGGCAUGAAAUUCGAAUAUUAGAUUUAUUUUCCAUCAACUUUUAUUCUCUUGGUUUUUUGGGAAUAAAUCACUUUUCUCCCUUCGGGAGCCACCUGCCUUCAUGGCCGGUGAUGCUACUCAUCAGGCAGGACAACAAGAUACAUCAAACAUAUAGCAGCACCCGACAUCUCUAGUUGCAGCGACCUAGGGCCACAACAUCUGCCCAGGUCAACAAGUCUACAGCUGUACCAUCCGACAUCAAGAAGAUCUACCAUCAAAUACCACAAGCUAUGCAUAAGUAUAAUCUACAAAUUGUUAGUUUUUGGAAAGAAUUUGAAUAUUUGUUAAUGCAUUUAAUAAGUCAUAUUUUUAUUAUAUCUUUAUUGAACAAAUAAACAUGAUUAGCUAAAAA
Diabrotica virgifera virgifera (western corn rootworm) is the source of this 449-nucleotide long non-coding RNA. RefSeq lists it as uncharacterized. The transcript has 2 exons. The record is from RefSeq and is a predicted model, not a curated record. Lineage: Eukaryota; Metazoa; Arthropoda; Insecta; Coleoptera; Chrysomelidae.